GACGAACGCUGGCGGCGUGCUUAACACAUGCAAGUCGAACGGAAAGGCCCUGCUUUUGUGGGGUGCUCGAGUGGCGAACGGGUGAGUAACACGUGAGUAACCUGCCCUUGACUUUGGGAUAACUUCAGGAAACUGGGGCUAAUACCGGAUAGGAGCUCCUGCUGCAUGGUGGGGGUUGGAAAGUUUCGGCGGUUGGGGAUGGACUCGCGGCUUAUCAGCUUGUUGGUGGGGUAGUGGCUUACCAAGGCUUUGACGGGUAGCCGGCCUGAGAGGGUGACCGGCCACAUUGGGACUGAGAUGCGGCCCAGACUCCUACGGGAGGCAGGAGUGGGGAAUAUUGCACAAUGGGCGGAAGCCUGAUGCAGCAACGCCGCGUGCGGGAUGACGGCCUUCGGGUUGUAAACCGCUUUCGCCUGUGACGAAGCGUGAGUGACGGUAAUGGGUAAAGAAGCACCGGCUAACUACGUG
Molecule: ribosomal RNA, 468 nt
Filed under: uncultured bacterium
Lineage: Bacteria
Description: partial 16S ribosomal RNA
Rfam family: Bacterial small subunit ribosomal RNA
Source: RNAcentral